GAGUGGUUGGAAAACUAUAACACUAUAUUGCACAAAUUAUUCGGCAAAUUGAAUUCUCAUAAUUGUCUUUCAGCACUGCUGUCAUUAGGGAAUUGUGAUUAAGUACCUACAGAACAAAUAUUAUUUCUAGUUUAUCCUGCACAAUGACGAUCACUAAGAUGCUUGAUGAACGUUAAUAGUGCAGGGAUGCAGGCGAUCCCCUCUAUCUGGUAAAUGACGUCACAAAGGCGCGCAUAAUUGACGAGUUUUUUCCAGUGACGGAUGAACUCGAAAGUGGUCUAUUGCUCUG
RNAcentral lists this long non-coding RNA (289 nucleotides) under Mytilus galloprovincialis (Mediterranean mussel). Lineage: Eukaryota; Metazoa; Mollusca; Bivalvia; Mytilida; Mytilidae. The record is from RNAcentral.